AAACAAAUUUAAUAGUGUUAUACUGCCAUCACAAAGUUAGCAGGCUUUAUAGGAACAAGCAUUAGGAAAUGCCAAGGCUAUUUAGUUUCAACUAUAAAAUCUCAUAAUCAUCUGAUGGCAAGGUUUGGAGAAUGCUUUCUUUGGGCUCGACGACCGCAAUGGCAAAGACAUGUAUGAUUGAACAUUUGAGAUUUAUUCAUAACUACAUCAGCGGUCAAAUGAAGUCAGGCAAACAACACAGCUAUUGAUAUUCCAAAAGCAACCAGCAAAACAUGGAGAAUGAUAAUUUGAAACCACUCAAACUCGCUGGAACCUUCAUUUUGAACUACAUCCAAAAAACUAGUGUUGCUGCCAAGGUUUUAAGUGCCAGUUUUGGUACCAGUACUAGCAUCCAAAUCAGUGCUCUGUAGGUAUCGUGCAGGUUUUGGUAUCGACACUCAGUAGAAUGGGCUUACUGGAUAUUGGUCCGCUUCCGGUACGGACUGGUAUGGUUUGUACUCAAAACCAUGGUUGUUAGCUUCUGUUCAGUAUACAGGGACCUUUUCUUUGGUUAAAAGUCAUUGCAAAGUUCACUCCUUCAGAUUUCAUCCUGACAACAAGCUACCUUGUUUAUGAAGCUAACCAAAAGAAGCACUGCAUUUUUGAGGUCAGCCAUGCCAUCACAAAUGAAGUCUUUAUACAUCAAUAAACUACUCCCUCAAACAUGAUAACAGAAAGGAUUUGUUGUAAAUGCUGCUUACCAAAUGUACAGUCGACCAUCAUGUAAAUGCAUGAUGGUUUUUAUGUAAUACCUGCUGUCAUCAUGUAAUGUCCUUACAAAUCUUUCAUUUUCUACAUCAAAAAGUGAUUUGCCCUCCAUUUGCACAAAAUUGCUUGUCAUGCAAGGCUUGCAAAUUGGUAAGCCGUAGUUGCUAAAGAGAAAAUUAUUUGGAUUGAUCCGAGGAUUGAAGUGGCACACCCAGGCACGUGAUGCUGAGGUUUUACUGAAUAUUUUGAUUGAUAGGUACAAUGGAUCUCCUUGAACAACAUAGGCAAAAUUCCUUGGAUAUGCACUUGAGGGAGAAACUAAACACCUCACCAUAACAUGUUGAAUAAAUCCUUGCUUAAAUCUAGCACCAGAGAAAUAGUAACACAUGAUGAUCGUUGGUAGGAGAAAGGAUGUGUUCAGAAAACUUAAUGUCUUGUCUCUAGUAUUCUUUUAUAUAAAAGAAAGGGCUUGGAACCAAACUCGAGGAGCAAAACAGGUUAGACUUCGGAAGGAUGUUCGAUUAAUAAAAUGGAAAAUUAGAAAGAUAACUUGAUGGUGAGUGGAUGGACUCUGUUCAAUAUGUUAAGUGGAAAAGCUCCCAGGGUGGAUGUAUCUGUAAUUAAUCCAUCUCUUUCCACAAUUCCAAAAAUGUUUGGCGACAAGUUAAUGAUUGUGCAUGUAUACUCACAGUAAUGCAAGCAACAUUAUGGUCUUGCAUACGGUUUCUUGACUGUGAACAUUUCAAUCCAAUGCUCUCCUAAUUUCUUGUUCAAUAAAUCUUGGAUAUGUGUGCUUUCUAAUUCCUUAAUGUCCCUUCUUUUCACCAAAAUGAAUUACCUUGCUUUUGAUACAUGUGAUCCAUACUCUCAUUGACUCACUCUAUGAUCUAAGUUCUAAGUACCCUUGCAAACUUAUCCUUGCAUAAUUGCUUGAUUCCUUAAUCUUCCUACCUUUCAAUGAGACUGAAUUACUAUUUCAACUCUUCCAAAUUCCUAGGUUCUAACGUAGCAAGCUUGGAUCUGAUCCAAAAAGACUAUCCAAAAAGGUAUUAUUUGGAUUCCUUGGCUCUGUGUAAGGAUCCAAGAUCUGCCUAGUGCCUAGGCAAUGUGGGACCGAACACACACCCACAGUCCUCACAUAUAGAUAUACUUUCAUGUUUUCUGUAAAUUUAGUAGGAUUACACACACCCCUCUCCAAGCCUUGUAACUUGUUAAUAUUGAGUCACACUCAAAAUUCAAGAAGAAUUUGUCGAUCAUCUUCAGGGUCCCAGAACCUAAGUACACACACACACAAACACAAACAAAAUUCAAGAAGUAUUCGUCAAUCAUCUUCAGGGUCCCAGAACCUAAAUAGUGCAAUGUCACUUCGAAAACCCUGAUCAAGAUCAAAUUAACAAAUAGUUUGACUGCAUGCUGUAGUUCUAUCACUAGCCCACGUCCUCCAUUAACGCCUUCAAAAAGCAAAUACAGGAGCACAUUUAGCAACGCAAAAUUAACUGGAAAUAUCGUGACAUUGCUUCGAAAAUAAAAAG
Molecule: long non-coding RNA, 2279 nt
Filed under: Elaeis guineensis (African oil palm)
Lineage: Eukaryota; Viridiplantae; Streptophyta; Magnoliopsida; Arecales; Arecaceae
Description: long non-coding RNA (EGUI_LNC015806)
Source: RNAcentral